Molecule: ribosomal RNA, 466 nt
Filed under: uncultured bacterium
Lineage: Bacteria
Description: partial 16S ribosomal RNA
Rfam family: Bacterial small subunit ribosomal RNA
Source: RNAcentral
GAUGAACGCUGGCGGCGUGCUUAACACAUGCAAGUCGAACGGUGAAGGCGGAGCUUGCUCUGCUGGAUCAGUGGCGAACGGGUGAGUAACACGUGAGCAAUCUGCCCCUGACUCUGGGAUAAGCGCUGGAAACGGCGUCUAAUACUGGAUACGAGCUGCGAAGGCAUCUUCAGCAGCUGGAAAGAACUUCGGUCAGGGAUGAGCUCGCGGCCUAUCAGCUUGUUGGUGAGGUAACGGCUCACCAAGGCGUCGACGGGUAGCCGGCCUGAGAGGGUGACCGGCCACACUGGGACUGAGACACGGCACAGACUCCUACGGGAGGCAGCAGUGGGGAAUAUUGCACAAUGGGCGAACGCCUGAUGCAGCAGCGCCGCGUGAGGGACGACGGCCUUCGGGUUGUAAACCUCUUUUAGCAGGGAAGAAGCGAAAGUGACGGUACCUGCAGAAAAAGCGCCGGCUAACUACG